Molecule: ribosomal RNA, 467 nt
Filed under: uncultured bacterium
Lineage: Bacteria
Description: bacterial SSU rRNA
Rfam family: Bacterial small subunit ribosomal RNA
Source: RNAcentral
AGCCCAGACUCCUACGGGAGGCAGCAGUGAGGAAUAUUGGUCAAUGGGCUUACGCCUGAACCAGCCAAGUCGCGUGAGGGAAGACUGCCCUAUGGGUUGUAAACCUCUUUUGUCAGGGAGCAAUUGGCGCUACGUGUAGCGUUAUCGAGAGUACCUGAAGAAAAAGCAUCGGCUAACUCCGUGCCAGCAGCCGCGGUAAUACGGAGGAUGCGAGCGUUAUCCGGAUUUAUUGGGUUUAAAGGGUGCGUAGGCGGAAUGCCAAGUCAGGGGUAAAAUCGCGGGGCUCAACCGCGCUCCGCCGUUGAAACUGGCGUUCUUGAGUGGGCGAGAAGUAUGCGGAAUGCGUGGUGUAGCGGUGAAAUGCAUAGAUAUCACGAAGAACCCCGAUUGCGAAGGCAGCCUGCCGCAGCGUUACUGACGCUGAAGCUCGAAAGCGCGGGUAUCGAACAGGAUUAGAUACCCCUGUA